UAGGGAAUCUUCGGCAAUGGACGAAAGUCUGACCGAGCAACGCCGCGCGAGUGAAGAAGGUUUUCGGAUCGUAAAACUCUGUUGUUAGAGAAGAACAAGGACGUUAGUAACUGAACGUCCCCUGACGGUAUCUAACCAGAAAGCCACGGCUAACUACGUGCCAGCAGCCGCGGUAAUACGUAGGUGGCAAGCGUUGUCCGGAUUUAGUGGGCGUAAAGCGAGCGCAGGCGGUUUCUUAAGUCUGAUGUGAAAGCCCCCGGCUCAACCGGGGAGGGUCAUUGGAAACUGGGAGACUUGAGUGCAGAAGAGGAGAGUGGAAUUCCAUGUGUAGCGGUGAAAUGCGUAGAUAUAUGGAGGAACACCAGUGGCGAAGGCGGCUCUCUGGUCUGUAACUGACGCUGAGGCGCGAAAGCGUGGGGAGCAAACAGG
Molecule: ribosomal RNA, 429 nt
Filed under: Gemmatimonadota bacterium
Lineage: Bacteria; Pseudomonadati; Gemmatimonadota
Description: Gemmatimonadetes bacterium partial 16S ribosomal RNA
Rfam family: Bacterial small subunit ribosomal RNA
Source: RNAcentral